This 465-nucleotide ribosomal RNA is filed under the name Vreelandella stevensii. RNAcentral's name for it is "partial 16S ribosomal RNA". It matches the Rfam family "Bacterial small subunit ribosomal RNA", at positions 338 to 795 of the family's 1533-position model. Lineage: Bacteria; Pseudomonadati; Pseudomonadota; Gammaproteobacteria; Oceanospirillales; Halomonadaceae. The record is from RNAcentral.
CCUACGGGUGGCAGCAGUGGGGAAUAUUGGACAAUGGGGGCAACCCUGAUCCAGCCAUGCCGCGUGUGUGAAGAAGGCCCUCGGGUUGUAAAGCACUUUCAGUGAGGAAGAACGCCUGGUGGUUAAUACCCAUCAGGAAAGACAUCACUCACAGAAGAAGCACCGGCUAACUCCGUGCCAGCAGCCGCGGUAAUACGGAGGGUGCGAGCGUUAAUCGGAAUUACUGGGCGUAAAGCGCGCGUAGGUGGCUUGAUAAGCCGGUUGUGAAAGCCCCGGGCUCAACCUGGGAACGGCAUCCGGAACUGGCAAGCUAGAGUGCAGGAGAGGAAGGUAGAAUUCCCGGUGUAGCGGUGAAAUGCGUAGAGAUCGGGAGGAAUACCAGUGGCGAAGGCGGCCUUCUGGACUGACACUGACACUGAGGUGCGAAAGCGUGGGUAGCAAACAGGAUUAGAUACCCCGGUAGUC